UCCAUGCCGUAAACGAUGUCUACUAGCCGUUGGGGCCUUUGAGGCUUUAGUGGCGCAGCUAACGCGAUAAGUAGACCGCCUGGGGAGUACGGUCGCAAGACUAAAACUCAAAUGAAUUGACGGGGGCCCGCACAAGCGGUGGAGCAUGUGGUUUAAUUCGAUGCAACGCGAAGAACCUUACCUGGCCUUGACAUACUAGAAACUUUCCAGAGAUGGAUUGGUGCCUUCGGGAAUCUAGAUACAGGUGCUGCAUGGCUGUCGUCAGCUCGUGUCGUGAGAUGUUGGGUUAAGUCCCGCAACGAGCGCAACCCUUUUCUACUUGCCAGCAUUUCGGAUGGGAACUUUAGGAUACUGCCAGUGACAAACUGGAGAAGGCGGGACGACGUCAAGUCAUCAUGGCCCUUACGGCCAGGGCUACACACGUGCUACAAUGGUCGGUACAAAGGGUUGCUACACAGCGAUGUGAUGCUAAUCUCAAAAA
RNAcentral lists this ribosomal RNA (481 nucleotides) under uncultured bacterium. RNAcentral describes it as "bacterial SSU rRNA". It matches the Rfam family "Bacterial small subunit ribosomal RNA", at positions 794 to 1280 of the family's 1533-position model. The record is from RNAcentral.